UGCUGCGUGGCGGAAUUGGUAGCGCGGCCUGGUUUCGCACCGGGAGUAUGCAGGUUCGAGUUCUGUCGUGGCAA
This is a non-coding RNA of Aspergillus flavus NRRL3357, 74 nucleotides long. NCBI's taxonomy places the organism in Eukaryota, Fungi, Ascomycota, Eurotiomycetes, Eurotiales, Aspergillaceae. The record is from Rfam.